CGGGACGGGUGAGUAAUGUCUGGGAAACUGCCUGAUGGAGGGGGAUAACUACUGGAAACGGUAGCUAAUACCGCAUAACGUCGCAAGACCAAAGAGGGGGACCUCGGGCCUCUUGCCAUCGGAUGUGCCCAGAUGGGAUUAGCUAGUAGGUGGGGUAACGGCUCACCUAGGCGACGAUCCCUAGCUGGUCUGAGAGGAUGCCAGCCACACUGGAACUGAGACACGGUCCAG
Molecule: ribosomal RNA, 231 nt
Filed under: uncultured bacterium
Lineage: Bacteria
Description: partial 16S ribosomal RNA
Rfam family: Bacterial small subunit ribosomal RNA
Source: RNAcentral